This 204-nucleotide ribosomal RNA is filed under the name uncultured Pseudomonadales bacterium. Its description in RNAcentral is "partial 16S ribosomal RNA". It matches the Rfam family "Bacterial small subunit ribosomal RNA", at positions 128 to 334 of the family's 1533-position model. Lineage: Bacteria; Pseudomonadati; Pseudomonadota; Gammaproteobacteria; Pseudomonadales. The record is from RNAcentral.
CCGUGGUAGGUGGGGACAACGUUUCGAAAGGAACGCUAAUACCGCAUACGUCCUACGGGAGAAAGCAGGGGACCUUCGGGCCUUGCGCUAUCAGAUGAGCCUAGGUCGGAUUAGCUAGUUGGUGAGGUAAUGGCUCACCAAGGCGACGAUCCGUAACUGGUCUGAGAGGAUGAUCAGUCACACUGGAACUGAGACACGGUCCAG